UAUAUGUAAUCUUGGUUUUCCUGUUCAGGUUGAUGAUCUGGAAGUGGAACUUGAAACUACUAAACAGAGAAACAAAGAGAAUUUGGAGCAAGCUUUGAUGACCGAGAGACAGAGUGUUACCAAGAUGCAGUGGGAUAUGGAAGAACUCAGGCAAAAAACUUUUGAGAUGGAACUGAAGUUAAAGUCAAAAGAGGUAUUGAAAUUUGAAAUAGUUCCAUCUCAAUCACAUUCUUUCCACAAUUAAGCAAGUUCACAUCGAGCGAGUAAUUUAUAUCUAGCAAAGUAACUUACUGACACCUGCAAACUAAUACAGGAUGGGAGUUCAGAUUCUAAGACGUCAGGAAACUCAACAAUCUCUGAGAGCCAUGAGCUGUUACAAGAAAUGGAUGCCACAAAACAGCAACUGGAAGAUCUUUCUAGACGGUAUGUUGAACUGGAGGCAAAAUCAAAGGCAGACAUAAAAGUGCUUGUCAGAGAGGUCAAAUCCCUGAGACGUUCACAUAUGGAAAUGGAAAAGGAACUGACUCGAUCGCUGACAGAGAAGUCUGACACUGAGGUAAAUCUUAAGCUUGUAAAUAAAAAGCAUUAUAUUAUUGCUUGCAUCAUCCGCUUGUGGUAAAUGUAUAUGAUCCUACAGAAAGAACAUCAAAACAUACUGAAACAUGUUUAAUUUUUUC
This 677-nucleotide long non-coding RNA is filed under the name Arabidopsis thaliana (thale cress). Its description in RNAcentral is "long non-coding RNA (ATHA_LNC000731)". Lineage: Eukaryota; Viridiplantae; Streptophyta; Magnoliopsida; Brassicales; Brassicaceae. The record is from RNAcentral.